This 305-nucleotide ribosomal RNA is filed under the name uncultured bacterium. Its description in RNAcentral is "bacterial SSU rRNA". It matches the Rfam family "Bacterial small subunit ribosomal RNA", at positions 335 to 657 of the family's 1533-position model. The record is from RNAcentral.
GUACCUACGGGGGGCAGCAGUCGGGAAUAUUGCGCAAUGGAGGAAACUCUGACGCAGUGACGCCGCGUGCAGGAAGAAGGUUUUCGGAUUGUAAACUGCUUUAGACAGGGAAGAAACAAGACAGUACCUGUAGAAUAAGCUCCGGCUAACUACGUGCCAGCAGCCGCGGUAAUACGUAGGGAGCAAGCGUUAUCCGGAUUUAUUGGGUUUAAAGGGUGCGUAGGCGGGCUUUUAAGUCAGCGGUAAAAAUUCGGGGCUCAACCCCGUCCGGCCGUUGAAACUGGGGGCCUUGAGUGGGCGAGAAG